AGUUGCAGGGUAUAGACCCGAAACCCGGUGAGCUAGCCAUGGGCAGGUUGAAGGUUGGGUAACACUAACUGGAGGACCGAACCGACUAAUGUUGAAAAAUUAGCGGAUGACCUGUGGCUGGGGGUGAAAGGCCAAUCAAACCGGGAGAUAGCUGGUUCUCCCCGAAAGCUAUUUAGGUAGCGCCUCGUGAAGUCAUCUUCGGGGGUAGAGCACUGUUUCGGCUAGGGGGCCAUCCCGGCUUACCAACCCGAUGCAAACUGCGAAUACCGAAGAAUGUUAUCACGGGAGGCACACGGCGGGUGCUAACGUCCGUCGUGAAGAGGGAAACAACCCAGACCGCCAGCUAAGGUCCCAAAGUCAUGGUUAAGUGGGAAACGAUGUGGGAAGGCCCAGACAGCCAGGAUGUUGGCUUAGAAGCAGCCAUCAUUGAAAGAAAGCGUAAUAGCUCACUGGUCGAGUCGGCCUGCGCGGAAGAUGUAACGGGGCUAAACCAUGCGCCGAAGCUGCGGCAUUCAGAGGACAGAUUUCAGACGACAGAGGACGGAAUGAUGUCUUGAAGGGUUUGAUUAAUCAGGUUCUGGAUAGUAAUCGUCUGUGGCUGUGAAGCCAUAGCGAAAAUGCUGACCGGACUGGGAUGUCAUCUGUAAGCUGUAUUCUGACGUCUGUUCUCUGAAUGGGUAGGGGAGCGUUCUGUAAGCCGUUGAAGGUGGCGCUGUGAGGCCCGCUGGAGGUAUCAGAAGUGCGAAUGCUGACAUAAGUAACGAUAAAGCGGGUGAAAAACCCGCUCGCCGGAAGACCAAGGGUUCCUGUCCAACGUUAAUCGGGGCAGGGUGAGUCGACCCCUAAGGCGAGGCCGAGCGGCGUAGCUGAUGGGAAACAGGUUAAUAUUCCUGUACUGAAUGUGACUGCGAAGGGGGGACGGAGAAGGCUAGGCCAUCCGGGCGACGGUCGUCCCGGUUUAAGCGUGUAGGUGGGAGGAGCAGGCAAAUCCGCUCUUCUGUAACACUGAGGCGUGAUGACGAGCUGCUACGGCAGUGAAGUGGCUGAUGCCCGGCUUCCAGGAAAAGCCUCUAAGCAUCAGGUGACAUUGAAUCGUACCCCAAACCGACACAGGUGGUCAGGUAGAGAAUACUCAGGCGCUUGAGAGAACUCGGGUGAAGGAACUAGGCAAAAUGGUGCCGUAACUUCGGGAGAAGGCACGCUGGCGGUAGGUGAGGGGCUUUGCGCCCGGAGCCGAAGCCAGUCGCAGAGACCAGCUGGCUGCAACUGUUUAUUAAAAACACAGCACUGUGCAAACACGUAAGUGGACGUAUACGGUGUGACGCCUGCCCGGUGCUGGAAGGUUAAUUGAUGGGGUUAGCCGCAAGGCGACGCUCUUGAUCGAAGCCCCAGUAAACGGCGGCCGUAACUAUAACGGUCCUAAGGUAGCGAAAUUCCUUGUCGGGUAAGUUCCGACCUGCACGAAUGGCGUAAUGAUGGCCAGGCUGUCUCCACCCGAGACUCAGUGAAAUUGAACUCGCUGUGAAGAUGCAGUGUCCCCGCGGCAAGACGGAAAGACCCCGUGAACCUUUACUAUAGCUUGACACUGAACAUGGAGCCUUGAUGUGUAGGAUAGGUGGGAGGCCUGGAAGUGCGGACGCCAGUCCGCAUGGAGCCAUCCUUGAAAUACCACCCUUGAAUGCUCGAUGUUCUCACUUAAGCCCGUUAUCCGGGCUGAGGACAGUGUCUGGCGGGUAGUUUGACUGGGGCGGUCUCCUCCCAAAGCGUAACGGAGGAGCACGAAGGUUGGCUAAUCACGGUCGGACAUCGUGAGGUUAGUGCAAAGGCAUAAGCCAGCUUAACUGCGAGAGUGACGGCUCGAGCAGGUACGAAAGUAGGUCUUAGUGAUCCGGUGGUUCUGCAUGGAAGGGCCAUCGCUCAACGGAUAAAAGGUACUCCGGGGAUAACAGGCUGAUACCGCCCAAGAGUUCAUAUCGACGGCGGUGUUUGGCACCUCGAUGUCGGCUCAUCACAUCCUGGGGCUGAAGUAGGUCCCAAGGGUAUGGCUGUUCGCCAUUUAAAGUGGUACGCGAGCUGGGUUUAGAACGUCGUGAGACAGUUCGGUCCCUAUCUGCCGUGGGCGCAGGAAGAUUGAAAGGGGCUGCUCCUAGUACGAGAGGACCGGAGUGGACGCACCGCUGGUGUACGGGUUGUCAUGCCAAUGGCA
RNAcentral lists this ribosomal RNA (2206 nucleotides) under Photorhabdus luminescens. RNAcentral describes it as "bacterial LSU rRNA". It matches the Rfam family "Bacterial large subunit ribosomal RNA", at positions 698 to 2737 of the family's 2925-position model. Lineage: Bacteria; Pseudomonadati; Pseudomonadota; Gammaproteobacteria; Enterobacterales; Morganellaceae. The record is from RNAcentral.